This 88-nucleotide transfer RNA is filed under the name Streptomyces phage Sham. RNAcentral describes it as "tRNA-Ser". It matches the Rfam family "tRNA". Rfam says of the family: Transfer RNA (tRNA) molecules are approximately 80 nucleotides in length. Their secondary structure includes four short double-helical elements and three loops (D, anti-codon, and T loops). The record is from RNAcentral. Lineage: Duplodnaviria; Heunggongvirae; Uroviricota; Caudoviricetes; Stanwilliamsviridae.
GGAAGGGCAAGCCAAUUGGAGAUGGCACCUCACUGCUAAUGAGACGAGUCCGUAAAGGGCCUUGCGAGUUCGACCCUCGUCCCUUCCG